UGAGUGAGGAGGAGGACAGGAAAGCAUCCUCAAGAAGGCACAGGUGAGCACAGGGCUCAUUGCAGUGAUGCACAGUCCCAUUCCAUGACAUUGGAGGUGAAGCUGGCUCUGGAGCCUGCACCUGCAUAUUCCUACAGCUUCUCAGACUCUUACGGACAAGGACUGAGGAGACAAAUCGUGUGGGAAACAGUU
This 192-nucleotide small nucleolar RNA is filed under the name Dasypus novemcinctus (nine-banded armadillo). RNAcentral describes it as "Small nucleolar RNA SNORA73 family (ENSDNOG00000040391.1)". It matches the Rfam family "Small nucleolar RNA SNORA73 family". Rfam says of the family: U17 (SNORA73A and SNORA73B) also known as E1 belongs to the H/ACA class of small nucleolar RNAs (snoRNAs). Vertebrate U17 is intron-encoded and ranges in length from 200-230 nucleotides, longer than most snoRNAs. Lineage: Eukaryota; Metazoa; Chordata; Mammalia; Cingulata; Dasypodidae. The record is from RNAcentral.